Cyanistes caeruleus (blue tit) is the source of this 799-nucleotide non-coding RNA. Lineage: Eukaryota; Metazoa; Chordata; Aves; Passeriformes; Paridae. The record is from RefSeq and is a predicted model, not a curated record.
GGAGAGAAGAACCGAGAGAGACUCUGAGUACAGCGGCAGCAGGAGAAAUAGCACAAACCAGCUAGAGCCCAGUGCAGGACACUUCAGAAUCCAACUGAGAUGUCCAGAGAGAUCUCCACGUGAAACCAGGAUAACAAUCCCAGAUGACGAAAAUAUCUGCUGAGUUAAAAAAACAGAGCCACUCUGUGAAGCUCCUUGUUAAAGAGAAUGUUUCAUAACACAGAAUUUACAGAGGCAACAAGAAAGAGUUUAAACUGUGCCGAAGGCAUCUCUCACACAUCACCUGGCAGCUGUCAGCCAGAGGCCCAGCAAUGUCUGGAAGGCUGGAACCACCAUGAUGUACCAAAAAAUGAUCAGAGUGACUGAAGUCCCCGAAGAAGGAAGACAGAGACAACAGUCACAGGAAGGAGACAAGUGGGACCAGCCCAAAGGACAGGCUGAGGAGCAGAGGCAAGGAGAUGCACAGCACUGCUGGAAUUCACUCAUGCCCAGCAUCACUGCCUCCUUGGAAGCAAUUUGGGAGACAAGGAAAUGAAAGGGCUGGACAUGAAGAAAUAAGAAUGAUCAUAUGAAGAAACAAUUUAUGCAGCUUUCAACUUGCUGUGUGGGUUCUAUAUCAUUCCCCCAGUGGAGGACAGACAUGUGCUACUGAGCUGAAGUUGCUUCUUUCACGUUUGUGUUUGAUCUCAUAGAAAUGGCCCGUGACAUAUGAGCUACUAGAAAGAGAAGCAUCUAAUAAUGUUGCAACAAAAUUGGAAAAGACAAAACUGCAAAUAAAGUGUACACUACCAUUACUCAA